CCCAGACUCCUACGGGAGGCAGCAGUGGGGAAUAUUGGGCAAUGGGCGCAAGCCUGACCCAGCAACGCCGCGUGAAGGAAGAAGGCUUUCGGGUUGUAGACUUCUUUUGUCAGGGACGAAGCAAGUGACGGUAUCUGACGAAUAAGCCACGGCUAACUACGUGCCAGCAGCCGCGGUAAUACGUAGGUGGCAAGCGUUAUCCGGAUUUAUUGGGUGUAAAGGGCGUGUAGGCGGGAAUGCAAGUCAGAUGUGAAAGCUAUGGGCUCAACCCAUAGCCUGCAUUUGAAACUGUAUUUCUUGAGUGCUGGAGAGGCAAUCGGAAUUCCGUGUGUAGCGGUGAAAUGCGUAGAUAUACGGAGGAACACCAGUGGCGAAGGCGGAUUGCUGGACAGUAACUGACGCUGAGGCGCGAAAGCGUGGGGAGCAAACAGGAUUAGAUACCCUCGUAUGA
Molecule: ribosomal RNA, 451 nt
Filed under: uncultured bacterium
Lineage: Bacteria
Description: bacterial SSU rRNA
Rfam family: Bacterial small subunit ribosomal RNA
Source: RNAcentral